CAGAGAGUUUGGGCUUAUUGGACUUAAUGCCUCUUAAGGUUUCAUCCAAUUCUAUGAUCCCGUGACUUGCAAAACACCCCAGAUGUGAAAUAGGAUGCUUUGUUACCUAACGUCACUAAGAGAAGAACUGGUGUAGGAUUUUCAAGUCAUUCGGCAGACACGAACCUCCUUAGGGAGGCACUGACAUGCACACAGCCUUUGGAUUUUAACAAAGAAUCUGCCAGAUUUGUGUUGCUUUCCCUUCUCAUCAGGGUUGCAAGGUCUGAGCACCAAGAAUAUUCUGCUGCUCUGUAGAUGAGGAAUAUACAUUUGAUGAAUGCAUGAAUGAACGGAUCAAAGGCAACGUAUAGAAUGAAAAUCCAGAUUGAAUUUGUUACACAGCUUCCGAGAACACUCAGGCCCGGCUUCCAAGUGCAAUCCUCCUGGCCGGGAGUCAGCAGCCCACGCACAUGCGCGCAGGGCGUUGCGCCAGGGCCGGUUCUUGCUUUGCCUGACCCUCUGCAGCCUCUGCUUUUCUGGAACUUGUGGUGCAGUGUCGCCUUCUCCGCGGGCACCUUCCGUGGGUUGCCCCAAGUGCACAGCCUCUGGCCGAAAUGCCAUCAUCUUAAAGGUGUUCCAGCUGAGCCAAUGUCUCCCAAACGCUUGCUCGCAACUGAGAAAAUGCCAAGCCAACUUUCUGCCUUCUCCUGUCCUACAUCCAGGCCUAUGAGAUUCCCUGGAGGAAAAAGACAGAAGCAAAUCCAUGUUUCUGCAAUUCUAUCUUCUCCUACCUGAGCCAG
Molecule: long non-coding RNA, 779 nt
Filed under: Felis catus (domestic cat)
Lineage: Eukaryota; Metazoa; Chordata; Mammalia; Carnivora; Felidae
Description: lncRNA (ENSFCAG00000047958.1)
Source: RNAcentral